RNAcentral lists this transfer RNA (92 nucleotides) under Herbiconiux daphne. RNAcentral describes it as "tRNA-Ser". It matches the Rfam family "tRNA". From Rfam's summary of the family: Transfer RNA (tRNA) molecules are approximately 80 nucleotides in length. Their secondary structure includes four short double-helical elements and three loops (D, anti-codon, and T loops). RNAcentral also lists the same sequence under 1 other name. The record is from RNAcentral. Lineage: Bacteria; Bacillati; Actinomycetota; Actinomycetes; Micrococcales; Microbacteriaceae.
GGAGAGGUGGUAGAGUCUGGCUGAUUACAUCUGUCUUGAAAACAGAAGCUCCUUAAUCGGGGUCGCGAGUUCGAAUCUCGCUCUCUCCUCCA